GAGUUUGAUCAUGGCUCAGGACGAACGCUGGCGGCGCGCCUAACACAUGCAAGUCGAGCGGAGUUUGCUGACGGAAGCUUUCGGGUGGAAGAUAGUAAACUUAGCGGCGGACGGGUGAGUAACACGUGAGCAACCUGCCUCUCAGAGGGGGAUAACGUUUGGAAACGAACGCUAAUACCGCAUAACACCGAGACGUCACAUGGCGAUUCGGUCAAAGGAGCAAUCCGCUGAGAGAUGGGCUCGCGUCCGAUUAGAUAGUUGGCGGGGUAACGGCCCACCAAGUCGACGACCGGUAGCCGGACUGAGAGGUUGAUCGGCCACAUUGGGACUGAGACACGGCCCAGACUCCUACGGGAGGCAGCAGUGGGGGAUAUUGCACAAUGGAGGAAACUCUGAUGCAGCGACGCCGCGUGAGGGAAGACGGUUUUCGGAUUGUAAACCUCUGUCUUCAGGGACGAAAUGAAUGACGGUACCUGAGGAGGAAGCUCCGGCUAACUACGUGCCAGCAGCCGCGGUAAUACGUAGGGAGCAAGCGUUGUCCGGAAUUACUGGGUGUAAAGGGAGCGUAGGCGGGAAUGCAAGUUGAAUGUCAAAUCUACCGGCUUAACUGGUAGCCGCGUUCAAAACUGCGUUUCUUGAGUGAAGUAGAGGCAGGCGGAAUUCCUAGUGUAGCGGUGAAAUGCGUAGAUAUUAGGAGGAACACCAGUGGCGAAGGCGGCCUGCUGGGCUUUUACUGACGCUGAGGCUCGAAAGUGUGGGUAGCAAACAGGAUUAGAUACCCUGGUAGUCCACACUGUAAACGAUGAUUACUAGGUGUGGGGGGUCUGACCCCUUCCGUGCCGGAGUUAACACAAUAAGUAAUCCACCUGGGGAGUACGACCGCAAGGUUGAAACUCAAAGGAAUUGACGGGGGCCCGCACAAGCAGUGGAGUAUGUGGUUUAAUUCGAAGCAACGCGAAGAACCUUACCAGGUCUUGACAUCGAGUGACAGGUGUAGAGAUACACCCUCCCUUCGGGGCACGAAGACAGGUGGUGCAUGGUUGUCGUCAGCUCGUGUCGUGAGAUGUUGGGUUAAGUCCCGCAACGAGCGCAACCCUUAUGUUUAGUUGCUACGCAAGAGCACUCUAGACAGACUGCCGUUGACAAAACGGAGGAAGGUGGGGAUGACGUCAAAUCAUCAUGCCCUUUAUGACCUGGGCUACACACGUACUACAAUGGCCAUCAAACAGAGGGCAGCCAGGCAGCGAUGCCGAGCGAAUCCCGAAAAAUGGCCCCAGUUCAGAUUGCAGGCUGCAACCCGCCUGCAUGAAGUCGGAAUUGCUAGUAAUCGCAGAUCAGCAUGCUGCGGUGAAUACGUUCCCGGGCCUUGUACACACCGCCCGUCAAACCAUGAGAGUCGGUAACACCCGAAGUCGGUAGUCUAACCGCAAGGAGGACGCCGCCGAAUGUGGGGCUGAUGAUUAGGGUUAAGUCGUAACAAGGUAACCGUAAUCGAAUUCCCGCGGCC
This 1507-nucleotide ribosomal RNA is filed under the name uncultured Bacillota bacterium. RNAcentral describes it as "bacterial SSU rRNA". It matches the Rfam family "Bacterial small subunit ribosomal RNA". The record is from RNAcentral. Lineage: Bacteria; Bacillati; Bacillota.